RNAcentral lists this ribosomal RNA (253 nucleotides) under uncultured bacterium. Its description in RNAcentral is "partial 16S ribosomal RNA". It matches the Rfam family "Bacterial small subunit ribosomal RNA", at positions 524 to 776 of the family's 1533-position model. The record is from RNAcentral.
UACGUAGGGUGCGAGCGUUGUCCGGAUUUAUUGGGCGUAAAGAGCUCGUAGGCGGCUUGGCAAGUCGGGUGUGAAACCUCCAGCUCAACCUGGAGACGCCACUCGAUACUGCCAUGGCUAGAGUCCGGUAGGGGACCACGGAAUUCCUGGUGUAGCGGUGAAAUGCGCAGAUAUCAGGAGGAACACCGGUGGCGAAGGCGGUGGUCUGGGCCGGCACUGACGCUGAGGAGCGAAAGCGUGGGUAGCAAACAGG